Molecule: ribosomal RNA, 322 nt
Filed under: uncultured eukaryote
Lineage: Eukaryota
Description: partial 18S ribosomal RNA
Rfam family: Eukaryotic small subunit ribosomal RNA
Source: RNAcentral
CCCUUAGAUGUUCUGGGCCGCACGCGUGCUGCACUGAGUGGAUCAGCGGGUCAGGUUGCGCGAAAGUGUUUCCUAAUCUUUAAAUCCGCUCGUGAUGGGGAUCGACGGUUGCAAUUUUCCGUCAUGAACGAGGAAUACCUUGUAAGCGCGGGUCAUCAUCCCGCGCUGAAUACGUCCCUGCCCUUUGUACACACCGCCCGUCGCUCCUACCGAUUGAGUGGUCCGGUGAGGCUUUGGGAUCUGAGCGGAAAGAGCGUUUCGCUGUUUCUGCCCGGAAAACUCAGUCGAACCUUAUCAUUUAGAGGAAGGAGAAGUCGUAACA